This 64-nucleotide transfer RNA is filed under the name Taenia caixuepengi. Its description in RNAcentral is "tRNA-Ile". The record is from RNAcentral. Lineage: Eukaryota; Metazoa; Platyhelminthes; Cestoda; Cyclophyllidea; Taeniidae.
GUUAAUAGGGCUGCAUAAGCAGGUCACUUUGAUAUAGUGGACAGUGAAGGAUAUUCCGUUAAUA